Photobacterium aphoticum is the source of this 123-nucleotide non-coding RNA. The record is from Rfam. Lineage: Bacteria; Pseudomonadati; Pseudomonadota; Gammaproteobacteria; Vibrionales; Vibrionaceae.
CAUCCACAACACCUGUUUUUCUUUCGCUUCUUUUUUAUGUCACCGUAAUCGGGGGCUCAUCGUUACGCCAGAAUAAAGCGAAAGACGAACAGAGAGCCUCCCACCUUGCGGAGGCUUUUUUGU